Molecule: long non-coding RNA, 1032 nt
Organism: Hibiscus syriacus
Lineage: Eukaryota; Viridiplantae; Streptophyta; Magnoliopsida; Malvales; Malvaceae
Exons: 3
Source: RefSeq, a predicted model, not a curated record
UUGAAAAUUAAAUCCCAACAGACGGCCCUGUGAUAAUAUUAACAAAUUUGACGAAUAAAAAAAACGAUAAGAGAUACUUGAUCCGUUAUCCAGUUAUAUAUUUUCCCCAUUCAUUGUCCUCCGCGUAUACAUUCUGUGACCGCCAGCCAUUAACAGGCAGUGAUUAAAUCAACCCCCCUUAUCGUCAAUUACUCCCCCGAAGAUGAAAUUUCAACUAAGCUGAAAAAUACACCACGCAUUUGCAGCUUUGUUCGAAAUUUCCAAAUCCCCUUUCCGGUACUCAGAUCUGUGGAUAAUUUAUUCUUCUGCUUGAUUUUCGGUCGUUUGGUUUAGGAAUCUAAACUUUAGAGGAGAGUAGAUCUAGAAAAGAAGAUUCGAACUCCCCCCUUACGGUCAUCGGCGAUUGGGUUUUAACUGAGAAAAUACAACAUGCAAGCAACGAGUUAACCGAAGAAAAGGUAAAAAAUCUAUACCAUUUUUUAUUUCUUUGUUUUCGAACACUUUACAAGCCUUGUUCUUCGUAUUUUUUCGUACUUUCUUGUGUAUUUCGUAUGAAAUUUCUCUCGAUAUUUCCUCUCCCUUGUGUGUGUUAGUGUUGAUUUAUUUAUAGUACAAAAAAAUCCUAUUUUUAGGCUCCUAUUUGCACUAAAACUCUUAUUCUUGUGUGUUUGCUUUGCUUGCUCCCCCUUGAAUCGAAUGAUUCAGGGAUGGUGGUGUUGACGUUGUGAAAAUUGAUGGCGUGGGUGAGAAAGAAUCUUCGGCGGCGCUAUGGAGACUUGGCUAGCAAUUGAAAUGAUAGGGUGGGUUAGGGUUUUAAAACCCUAACUUAUUCAGAUCCGGGCCGAUUCGGGGCUCCUAUGGGUCGCGUGUUACUGGGGCCGUGUGGGUUUACUGUGGGGUCUGGUUCGGGCCACUGUUAGGCUUGUUGUGUUGCAAAAUGUUAUUGGGCCUGUAAAAAAAUGACAUGUAUUAUUAUUUUUCAAAUAUAUAUAUAAUAUAUGUUAGGACAAAAAUUAGUGUCCACAAUUUCCG